CAUCCGGUCGUCUAGCCCGGUCAAGGAUGUCGGCCUCUCGAGCCGAGGACCCGGGUUCAAAUCCCGGCCGGGGCACCA
RNAcentral lists this transfer RNA (78 nucleotides) under Thermoprotei archaeon. Its description in RNAcentral is "tRNA-Glu". The stretch from base 4 to 71 matches the Rfam family "tRNA". Rfam says of the family: Transfer RNA (tRNA) molecules are approximately 80 nucleotides in length. Their secondary structure includes four short double-helical elements and three loops (D, anti-codon, and T loops). Lineage: Archaea; Thermoproteati; Thermoproteota; Thermoprotei. The record is from RNAcentral.